RNAcentral lists this ribosomal RNA (433 nucleotides) under uncultured bacterium. RNAcentral describes it as "bacterial SSU rRNA". It matches the Rfam family "Bacterial small subunit ribosomal RNA", at positions 28 to 494 of the family's 1533-position model. The record is from RNAcentral.
GACGAACGCUGGCGGCAGGCCUAACACAUGCAAGUCGAACGCCGUAGCAAUACGGAGUGGCAGACGGGUGAGUAACGCGUGGGAACAUACCCCUCGGUUCGGAAUAACUUAGGGAAACUUGAGCUAAUACCGGAUACGUCCGAGGUUUUAACCGACCUCGGAGAAAGAUUUAUCGCCGGAGGAUUGGCCCGCGUCUGAUUAGCUUGUUGGUGAGGUAAUGGCUCACCAAGGCGACGAUCAGUAGCUGGUCUGAGAGGAUGAUCAGCCACAUUGGGACUGAGACACGGCCCAAACUCCUACGGGAGGCAGCAGUGGGGAUAUUGGACAAUGGGCGAAAGCCUGAUCCAGCCAUGCCGCGUGAGUGAUGAAGGCCUUAGGGUUGUAAAGCUCUUUUACCCGGGAAGAUAAUGACGGUACCGGGAGAAUAAGCCCC